Molecule: ribosomal RNA, 229 nt
Filed under: uncultured bacterium
Lineage: Bacteria
Description: partial 16S ribosomal RNA
Rfam family: Bacterial small subunit ribosomal RNA
Source: RNAcentral
UGCGCAGGCGGACUUUUAAGUCAGUGGUGAAAUCCCGAGGCUCAACCUCGGAACUGCCAUUGAUACUGGAAGUCUUGAAUUUGGUUGAAGUGGGCGGAAUGUAGCAUGUAGCGGUGAAAUGCUUAGAUAUGCAACAGAACACCGAUCGCGAAGGCAGCUCACUAAGCCAAUAUUGACGCUCAGGCACGAAAGCGUGGGGAGCAAACAGGAUUAGAUACCCUGGUAGUCC